This 240-nucleotide unclassified non-coding RNA is filed under the name soil metagenome. RNAcentral's name for it is "partial contains 5.8S ribosomal RNA, internal transcribed spacer 2, and large subunit ribosomal RNA". The record is from RNAcentral.
AACGCACGAGACCUGCGGACCUGCGGAGGGAUCAUUAAUGAGAAGCUGCCCCUCGUGGGUAGACCUCCCACCCUCUGUGAACUUACCUUUGUUGCUUUGGCAGGCCCGUCCUCUGGACCGCCGGCUUCGGCUGGCCCGUGCCUGCCAGAGGAUUCCAAACCCUGUCUGUCAGUGUUGUCUGAGUCUAUAUGAAACCGUUAAAACUUUCAGCAAUGGAUCUCUAGAUCGGAAGAGCACACG